UCCCAGGGCGGCGCGGCCAGGGGCCAAGGCCUCCAGAGGCCGCCGUUCUGUCGCAACUGGAAGGAGCUGUCGGAGAGAAGGGAACCGGGGAAAGGGGGGUCUCAGUGCGGAGAGAGUUUUGGAAAAGAACGUUGAUAUUGCCCGACCCGCAGGGCGCCAUGGGAAAGGUAGUUCGGCGCAGACUAGCGGCUGGACUACAACUCCCAGCAUGCCCCUGGAGGAGCCAGCAGGGCGUCUGCGGUGGCCUACUCCGCCACGAAGAUUCCCCUCCUGAUGCUGAUUUUACCUGAUCAUCCGAGUGCCGAGAGUGGGAGUGGACAACGUGAUUUCAUCUGCCAAACGCAAAAGAUUUGGAAGGCUGCAUAUUAUUUAGUCUUUGUCGCUGCAUCAGUUCUUUACUGACACAGUAAUGUUGACGACAAACCACCUGAAGACUCAUUCUUCUCAUUCACAAGUCUGUGGUAGCUGAGCCAUUGUCUGAUCUUGUCUGGACUGGACUCGCUCAGGUGUCUGCAAUCAGCUGCUGAUCCCGGCUGGGAUCUCCCACAGGGUGAGAGUUGGCUAGCUUUUGUCUGGAUAGGAUAAUCUCUGCUUUUCUCCACGUGUCUCUUACAUCCCUCCUAGCUGAGACAAGUUCUCAGGCUGAGGAAGAGAUGCAGAAGUGGGCAAGCUCAGUUCACAAGACAGCAAGCAGAAAUGCACAGGUGCUUUUCAAGCCCCUGCUUGUUGGUGUCUGUUAACAUUCCAUUGGCCUAGGUGAGUUAUCUGGCCGAACCCAUAGUCAGAGGCCCAGGGGAGUACAAAGUUACAAGGCAAAGGGAGACAGGAGUCCUUAAUUGGUGUCAUUAAUAGAAUACAUGUUUGUGUUUAUUAGUUUAUGUUUAUCUGUUUAAUAAACUCUAUAUAGUUCAUUUCAUAUUGUGAAUUCAGUCAUUCCCCUUCUCAAAAUAAAAUUUCUACUCUUGUUACUUGUUAUUAAUAAAAUACAAGAAAAAAAUCAGAAUAGGCAAGCAAAAUGAGCAUAAAGGAUGCUACUAAUCCCCACUUAUAGAGACAAUCACUCUUGCAUAUUCUCACUCUCUCUCUCUGUAUAUAUGUCUAUACAUCUGAUUAUAUGCAGAUUAAUUUUAUAGAUUAGCUAUAUAGAUAGUUAUGUAAAUUAGUUAUAUAGAAAAGUACUUAAAAUUAUAAUACAAAAAUGCAUUUAGAGCAGUUAUUCAGUCUCAAGGAAAUGUCAUGUUUCACAGUGUUAUGCGAAACUCACUGGCAUAUGGAAAAUCAUUGUCUUCAGGCACAGGCUUCUUAUACUCUGUAUGACUUUCAUCUUUUGAAUGAGAUGCUCAUGCUUCUGCAGCAGGUAUAGCUUCUGGUUUUCAUGUGGUCAGUGACAUUGCCACAUGCCCCAUGGGAUGGUAAAUGUUGACAUUUUGUGAAAGUAAUAAAUUCAUAAUCAGUUUUCUUGAGAAAUUAAAAUUAAGUAUUUAAGUUUUAUUAAACAUAUGCUUUCUUUUUUUUUCCCCUUUGUGCUCAUUUUUGUCAAAGGUCUUAUUACACAAUAUAAAAGUGUUACCAAACAAUAGCAUAAAUAAAUAAUUGAAAUUAUCACCAUACAAUGAAUGACAAAACCACUGUGACAAGCGUGUCCAGUCUAUUUUCAACAUACUCUAUUGCAGCACUGUUCUGCCUCUAUGUCCUGCAUGUAGUUCACAUAAUUUAACCUAGAAUUUCCCAGAUUUCCCACUGACUGGUGGCCUAGCAGUCCUGGCACUGCUGUGUGGUAUGCCGGAUAGUCAUCAGGGGUACCACAUCUAAUACUUUUCCCAUCACCCCUCAAGGUCACAAAGAGUUCACUGUCUUUGCCUUAUUUUAUUAGUAAGUGCCCAGCAUGUUGUUCUUGAAAGGGAGUUAAUAGCUACCUUGCCUCUGAAAAGGGCUGGAAAAUAGAGACACAGAUUAUUGCUGGUUAUAUUUCAACUUUAAUCAUGAGUUACAGUGAAAAU
Vicugna pacos (alpaca) is the source of this 2000-nucleotide non-coding RNA. The record is from RefSeq and is a predicted model, not a curated record. Lineage: Eukaryota; Metazoa; Chordata; Mammalia; Artiodactyla; Camelidae.